RNAcentral lists this long non-coding RNA (618 nucleotides) under Pongo abelii (Sumatran orangutan). Its description in RNAcentral is "lincRNA". Lineage: Eukaryota; Metazoa; Chordata; Mammalia; Primates; Hominidae. The record is from RNAcentral.
GUGUACACUGGGCAAAGGGAACAAAGAGGCACUUGGCUCACCCUAGAGCAAGAGGAGAAGCUCUCCAGAUUUGCUGACCUAGAAGGAUAAGUCUGAAAUACCCUUGGCUGUGUACAUUUGAGUAAAGAGCACUAUAAAAUCAAAAACCAAUGAAAUGGUUUCCAGAACACAGAACUAUUAAGCUUAAGAAAAGGACAGAAGGAACUGAAGAGAGAGGAAAUAUGUUUUGGAGCAUCACACUUCCACCUCAGAAGAAAUAAGGAAGGAAGGAGGAGGAUGUUCCCACGGCUCUUCAACCAGGCCGGCUCUUCAGCCUACAUCCCAAUCUCAUCAAGUAAAAGGGAUUUUUCAACUGGACCAAUCAGAUGGUUUAACAGUGCACUCCCACACAAUUCAACUACGCAAGGGAGAUUCACUUAACAUAUGCAGUCGUAUAACACCUACUAACAUUUUCAAACAUUAAACCUUUAAAAAAGAGUUCUAAAGAAAUAGAAGCAUGAAGUAUCAUCUCUCAAGUAUAUAGACACUACUUCAUGGUGUGGUAAUAUAUGCAUAUAGAAGCUAGUAAAUACCUCCAGGAGAUGCAAAAGGAAUUAGAACUGCCACAAGGUGCAAGCA